This is a non-coding RNA of Arvicanthis niloticus (Nile rat), 99 nucleotides long. NCBI's taxonomy places the organism in Eukaryota, Metazoa, Chordata, Mammalia, Rodentia, Muridae. The record is from RefSeq and is a predicted model, not a curated record.
GUGCAUACUGUACCCACUACUUACUCUGAGUCUCCACAAGGUCCAAGGCAACACUAGAAACUGUGUCCAUGCCAGAACUGAUACAGGAUUGGAAGUUCU